CUACAGCCAGUUAGUGUGACAACACAUCCCAAAGUACAUUCCUGCAUCCAAACUUCAGGAGCAUUUGAUUGUAAAUUACUGUAAACAUGGGUGGCCCCGGUGUCUACAGGGAGCUCCUCAACACAUUUGACCUGCAGAAAGACAAUGUGGAACGUGGGAGAGGUAAUGGGAGUGAUGGAGGAGACUGUGGCUGGGGAAAGGGAAAGUUAGGCUUAUCACUCAUUCUAUUUCUUCUCCUACCACAGCCCAUCAAAGUGAAGGUUGAAUUUUAACCUCAAGAUGUGACUAAAAUGCUCCUUGCUGGGAGCUGGUGGAUUUUGCAUUCUUUCCCAAGGUGAGAGUUGUGUCCAGAUGACAAAUACCGCAGACCCAACAGCAUCUUCAAAACAGAUUUUUCCUUUGAAAUGAGUCAGCAUGGAACAGCUUAUUUGUGGUGGUCCAGUUUUGCUUCCCACAGCAGAUCCAGCAGGAUAAGCACUCCAGCUGCAGCUGCUCAUUCCACAGGAGCUUGACAGCUCUCUGAACCAAACUAGCCAUCAGCAGCACAUCAGCCAGCAGUGGGUAAAAGACAGUGCUUACACCUAAAAGAGCAAUUUGAAAUCAAUGCUGAUUAAUUGCAGGGGUCAUCCAAUCAGGGAGGACGCAAUUUAGAGAAGACUAAUGGUCUUCAGGUUAAGGAACUUGCUGCCUUCUCAGGUGAUUUCAGUUUAAUUAUUGCUUCAGUUCUUGACUUCCUAAUUAAGUCAAUUAAUCUCUCCUGUUCUGUGAACUUCAUCUCUAGAAGAGGCUAAUUGCAGCUGACUCUUUUGCCUCUUUAGUUUUUCAAUUCUUUGUGGUAGGAAUUAAUUGUCCCUGUUUUACUUUUAUCCGUGCUGGGAUUUAGACCUCUGUACUGGUGAAGAUAAGGCAUAAUAUAGGACUAAUUUUUAUUUGGUGGGAGAGGUUCACCAAAGUUGCCAGAGAAGAAAAAAGUGGACAUCUCUAUAGGCUAGGUCUCAUAGGUCUUAAAUGCAGGUAUUGCUUUGGGCGAAAAGCUUGAAUGUUCAUGCAGAGUGUGCAGCAUAAGCCUGGCAGAUGUGUAGCCCUGACCUAUGCACUGAGGAGUUUGAGGUGUCCCUGCACAGUGCUCUGUUUCUGCAGGAACUAGCUGUCCAGGGCUGAUGAUAAAAAUAAUUACAUGAUGGUUGCCAGUGCUGAUUUUCUCUGGCUAUCGGGCACUGAAAACUGAUGAACAAGAAUUAUAAUAACCAAAUACAUACAGAAAAGUUCUGAAUUUUUUAAUUCUUUUGCAGACAUCUGAGAAAAGAGGGGAAAGUUGCCAGGCAAGAACUCUAUCAUCUAAAAAUAAAGAGAGCAAACCCAAAAUCAUUUAAUGAACUUACAGGAACCUACGAGGACUUUCAGAGAGCUGGCCAGGACCAAGCUUAAAGUGUUCCUUACAAUGUGUUCAUGGUAGGUUAAACAAGAUCAGUAAUUGUCCCUUCUAAGACAUACCAUUUGAAUGGAAGAGAGAGAUAAACAAGGAGGCAACAGAGGAGGCAUUUGGAAAAGAACUAUCUGCAGCCAGCACACUCCAAAGCCACAGGGAGUUAAAUAUGGGCUGAGCAAAUCUUUAUCUUUUUGACAUUAAGAAAUUCCAUCUGGAGCUUUCAUUGCAAAGGGAAGGCUAGACAGGAGGGGCUAUGGUCUUAGAUAAAUAGCCAACAAUAAAAACAAUAUGUAAGCAGAGAAUCUAACAGAUGUGGAAAGGGGGGAUUAAGUAGUGAAGAAGAUAACAUAUUGCAGGUUAUAAAUUGUGAGGAAGGAUUGCCAGACACCAAGCUGAGUGAGACUUGGCAAAAGGAAUUAAAUAACAAAAUCUUCUGGAACAGAGUGAACAAAAGAGAACAAGGAGAGAAAGAAUAAAUAAGGUUGCUGUGCACUUAGCAGGGGUUCCAGGUGGAAGAUUACUUGUGUGUGGUCUCAGCAUUUUACUGAGCUCUGAGUCUGUGCUACCAUGUUUUCUUCUCUCCUAAGGAUAAUUCUGCAGAGCAGGGAGAGGGCUAACCGAAAGAUAUUGCCAUGCUCAAAUCAGUGAGGCAGACGAUCUCAAUCCCAAAUAUGUGUCAAAAAUCAGUCAUGUGACAUUGGAACUUCAUGAGGCAAGAAUUUGAUACAUUUAUUCAAAACAUGGUUCUGUGGGACAGAAACAAUUGCAAAUUUCAUAUUCAGAAUAGGGGGUACAGGACAACCUAGGCAGCUGCUGGUCGUCUAGCAUGGAUAGACUGGGAAGCUUUCAAAAAACUCUUCAAGAAAAAUUAUUUUAAACAAAGGCGAAAUUGAGUAAAAUAUGUUGGUAGACUUGCACUUCACCUAAGGACUUUAUUUCCUUGCCAACAGAAUUGGUUGGCCAGAUAAGAGAAAUGGAAACAUACAUAUCUGGAAGUAAUCUCUGAUCUUUCCUUCCAGCCGUUGGAAGCAGCUAUAAGGUAGACUUGUGCCAUUUGCACUUUAUUAAUGCUUUGGGCAUAACAUUAGAGGGGCAUUUAUUAGGUCAAUAUGAGGAGGGGGCAAAUAGCGCAAGUAUUGUUAGAUUUUAAAAUUUGACUGAAAAGGAGAUAAAUGAGUUAAGAACAGCAUGGACUGAAAGAAGAUCUGUGGGGCUGGAAGUUGCCAGCAUGACCUCAUCAUUAAGUUUACCUGUUUUGUUUUUUAUUUUCCUGAAUCAUCUAGGCUUUGAAAUAGGGAGUUGUUACUGAAAUGUGCUGUGGCACAGCCAUGGGAAGGUCUAAAUGAUCACAUGGGGAGUAUUAUGUGAGGUGUCACCUGCAGAUGUACGAGUGACAGGAAGUAUAACUCUACAGAGAGCAACCUCGAAUGCUUAGUAGCCCAAAACCCUGAACUGCUUGUGUUUCUCCUACAAGCUGAUAACCCACAUUUGGAAGCAAUAGAAGAGGGUAAGACUUGAAUUAAUUAGUUUGGUGCAGGAGCAUCACAUGUGAUUUAACCUUGGCAACAGCCUUGGCAGCUCCUGUCUGCCAACUGUGAUGGUAGGAAAUGCCACUUCUGUGUCCAGAAGCCUGCUGGAUACCUAGAGCUUUUUCUAGGGUGGCCAAGCCAGAGAAAAGUGUAUCUAAUUGGCUCUUACUGUGUCUAGGCUAAGGACAGGAGGUUGUUGGGAGUGCUGAGGGCUUGCCAUCAGUCUGUUGGAGCAAUAGCAGAAGGGAAGAAAAUCUAUUUCGGCAAUAGGGCAGUGUUAGCUCAAGCAUAAAUGGUGUAUGGACUGACUGUGUUGAUCUGAAUACUGGAAAUUAAUGUUUCUCUUCUCAUGAGCCAGGAGGUGCUUCAGUGGGAAGUUUCAUGACAAGAAUCCAUACUGUUUCUGAGAUGGAUGCUUUUUUGGAAGGCAGCUUAUAAAAUGAUUACUGAGGUAGCUGGGGCCCAGGCUCUGUAGUCCUAGGGUUCCUUCCUGGAGUCUCUGACAGUGACUGCAUGAAUCUGGAGUGUCCUCUGUUUUGUAUGGAACAGGAGCAGAUGUAUCCUCUCCCCUGUUCAGAUUCCAGCUGCAUCCAGCCUUGCCUUCCAGUCCUAUGUUUCUCUGCUCUUGACCUAGCAGAGAGAGAUGAUAAAGCUUCCUCAGCCACUUGAGAGCACUUCUUAGGCAGUCCAAGUGAUUGUGGUUGUGCAGUUUCAGCUCUUUUCUCAGCUGAACACCCACAUGUGUGAAUAAAUGCAGUUUCUACAGAAUUCCCCAUCUUUCACCCACAGAGUGCAAGCACUGGUCUCUGACUCCGACAGACUUUUGAAUCUCUGGAGCAAUAAAGUCUCCCUAUAGAUCAAAGUUGAAACUGCUCAAAAAUGAGGAUUUUUUUCAGAUCUGCUCAGCUCCUGCCUGAAGAGUUGUUUAAGUGUGGUGAAUUGUCAGUCUCCAGUAAGAGAGGGGCACAAACCUAUUUUAAGGUGUGUGAACAGUCUGGCAAAGUGAUAAUGAUCAUGGUGCCUGGGACACCUAGAAAGUGAAUUGAUGGCCCAGCAAGCUUCUUUGAGCAAGAGUUCCCUUCUAGUUCAUCCUCCAGGACUUCCUGAUCUCAGUACACCUCCCAGUGCCUUAGGAUGGCUCACAGACUUGUUUAUAUUGGGGUGAUCACCAGUACUGCGGCAGAGCCUUGCAGAAAUCCUUGUCCAUUUACUGUAGGAAAGUGGUAGCCUAACCCAGGCAUAUAAGAGGCUUCAGUAAGCAGCUUUGCAGUCUGAGAACAAUAUACAAGGUUUUCUCCAUUUUUGCUUCGUUUUUUAUUUCCUCUCUGUCACACUGUAUUGAUGAGUGAGUUUUGCAGUUCUCUGUACUGAAGUGAUGAGCUGUUGUCUUCUGGGACUGGAAAAAAUGUGGUGAAACCGUCAGU
Passer montanus (Eurasian tree sparrow) is the source of this 4382-nucleotide long non-coding RNA. RefSeq lists it as uncharacterized. The record is from RefSeq and is a predicted model, not a curated record. Lineage: Eukaryota; Metazoa; Chordata; Aves; Passeriformes; Passeridae. The transcript has 2 exons.